GCCCAGCCGUAAACUUUUAUCUACAUCUCAAUCGCCAGGGAACUACGAGCUAAGCUUAAAACCCAAAGGACUUGACGGUACCCCAUAUCCCCCUAGAGGAGCCUGUCCUAUAAUCGAUAAUCCACGUUUAACCUCACCAUUUUUAGUUAGUCAGCCUGUAUACCUCCGUCGUCAGCUUACCACGUGAGCGAGAAUUAGUGAGCUUAAUGUUUUUUCACCAACACGUCAGGUCAAGGUGCAGCAAAUGAAAUGGGAAGAGAUGGGCUACACUUUCUACUAUAGAAAAAACGAAAAACUACUUAUGAAACCUAGUUAGAAGGCGGAUUUAGCAGUAAAAAGGAAUCAGCACGUCCAUUUUAACUCGGCACUGGGGUGUGU
Molecule: ribosomal RNA, 378 nt
Filed under: Sclerophrys poweri (western olive toad)
Lineage: Eukaryota; Metazoa; Chordata; Amphibia; Anura; Bufonidae
Description: partial 12S ribosomal RNA
Rfam family: Bacterial small subunit ribosomal RNA
Source: RNAcentral